AGAGAAAUUACUCCCAACCCCCACAGUUGACACUACACUAAAUUAUACAUCAAGGGUGAGGGUAGAAUAAAGUGAUGUUCACAUAUGCAAGGACUCAAAAUUAUAUAUCACAUAUAUCAUCACAUAGUUAAUGACUGAAGGAUGAAUGCCAGCAAUAGAAUAAUAGAAGACAUGCUUAAUGAAUGAAGGACUUAACAGGAAAAGGGCGAAGACAGUCAUAAGACAAAACAAAAUGUUUCACUGAAGAAAGUAAAAAUAGUGCUCCUUGAUUGAAAUGUUAUACUUCAAUGAAUAUACAAUAAAGAAUUCUGAGGAAGUGGGCAAGAAGGAGGAGAUACUUAACUUUAUUUAUCUAUCCAACCAUGAUUUGUUUUAUUUCCAAUAACUGAGUAUUCACUUCUGCUAGUCACUGCCUGAAGCUCUACGGAAUACAAAGAUGGUGUGCUAUUGGCCUCUGGGAACAGGGAAUUGUGGGUUGAAUGUGCAGCACAAUCACUGAACCACAAAAACACUCUCAAGACUGAGACUUUACUAAUAAGCUUAUGGAGCUGAGAGAAGAGGAAUCCUUUCUACUACAAUGAAGGUCAAAGAUCUUUGUUACAUUAUGUCCAGAGUGUAAUGAUUUCAGAGUAUCCUAGCUAUGCUGACUGACUUCAAAAGUCUUCCUUCCAUGCUGACCCUAACAAUAGCAAAUCCAUUAGAAACAUCCACUCUAAAGUCCUUUAACAUUGAAUUUCCACCUACACUUCUCAACACAUCAUCAAAGCCAUCAAAUGAAGACAUGUUUUUCCUAGCAAAGUUACAAUGGUGAAACUGAAAAUAUCCACUAUAUACUCCAUAUAAAGAUAGGCUGUCAACCAAGUGCCCACUCUAUUGGUUAAAAGCUAAUGUGGAAUUCAGAAUAAGGGCUAAAGAGUGAGGUUUAGGAGAGAAGGCUGUUGUGAUUUCAUCUUGGUUGGCACAAUUUCUGUUAUCACUUAUUGAGGUCUAGUUUGGUCAUUCUAAGUGCCUUAAUUGAUAAACUGGAGGAGAAGGACAGGGAUUUUCACAGGCUGCUGGAUUAGGCAGAUGUGCGAAAAGUGAUUAUUCUUAAAAUUCAUAGGGACUGUAGUAGAAUAUAGUUGAAUGUAGAGAGAAGGCUCAAAAGGGACAGUGCAAGAACAUUCUUGAAAGAGUGAAGUUUAAAAGACAAUGAUCUCAGCAUGAGUAAAUGAUGAGAGUGGAGGAAAAAUGCAGAAAUGCACAUGUUGGCAGAAAAUAAAGGUCCACAUCAAGAGAUAAAUGAAAUUUCAGCUAUUUUUCAUAAGACAGGAAAACUCUAAGAUACUGAAUAACACAUAUUUCCAAGAGAGUAUCUAAGAUUUACUAUUUUAAGCAAAACCCUUAAAAAGUUACUUAGCAUUAGUCAGUUAAUUUGAGAGACAAAAUGGGUAAGUAUUGACAGAAGAGCCAGUAGAAGGUAAUUACUGGUAAAUAACGAAUGGAGAUUUUUAAAAAAAUUGUUGUGCACUUCUCAAUCUGUCUCAAGUGGCAGGAGUCUGUAGCUGUCAAUGAUUUUUCUACCAAAGCAGCAUUUAGGGCACUGAGUUUUCAGGAUUUAAAAGAAAAUGAAUCAAGGAUUUAUUUACUUGAAGUUUCUAUCUAAAUAAUUACAUUUUAGGAUACCUAAAAUUACAUCAGGACAUUUAGCUUAUAAAAAAUGACCCCACAACAACCUGAAUUUAUGCUGAUUAAGGUGUUUUCUAGGAGACAGUUUAUCAAGCUGCAACGUAGCAGAAACUGUCACUUUCCAUCUGACAAUGGAAAUAGGAGAACAUGCCUGGAGUUAUAAUUGGUGAUGGCACAGGAAGCGCUGGGAAGCUCAAAAUGCUUUACAAAUAGUAAUUCAUGUCAUACUGCUUUUACAGUGGAUUUCUAGCACAUCAUAAGGAAGAACACAGGGAGAUGCUGACUAAUAUGUUUCACGUCACAACACAACUAUUAAAGGUCAAACACAAGGACCAGUGCACUUUGUGUAACUGAUUAUGUCCAAAAGAAUUGUACAGAAGGAUACUGAUGUCAUGAAUUAGCAUUUAUGCUAAUAAAAAAUAGAAUAAUAAUAGAAUUUUUUAUAUGAAAUUCUUGGUGUAAAAAUUACCUCCGCCCCAACUUUUUGAGCACAGCUGUUACUAGAAUACUUUUUUUAAUCCUUAAUUAAUUUUCCCCAUAGAUGUCUUACAUUUGUUAAUUAAUUUGCACAAUACACUCCUGAUUUUGGGGGGGAACAAUGUAUAAGGUAAAUGUACUGUGUAAUUAGAGUGGAGACUGCAGAUUAUAGUUUUGCUAUGAUUGAAAUUAUUGUCAAAAAUGUUGGAAAACUUCUGCAAUGCAUUUUGAAAGAUUUAAAUGCUCAGGUUACCAAUUGGGCAAAGAAAAAUUGCACCCAAGCCCUGUAGGACAGUUCUGCCAGUCUAUAAGUCAUUCUUUUAGUAUUUAUUGAAUACUUAUUAUGGACCAGGGAUUAGUUUAACUCUAGAGACACAAUAAGAAAAAUAUAAAAAGUACCCAUCUGGUAGGACCUUAUAUCCUAGUAGGAGUCAGACAGCACAUAAGUAAAUAAAUAUGCAAAAAACAUCACUACAGAAAAUGAUGAGACGGGAAGUAAAUAAAGAGCUUGAUGACGCUGGAAGUAAUUGGGGAGGCCAUCUGCAAUGUUGCAAUAAGCUGGAAAGGUAACAUUUGGCUUGAUACAUGAAGAAUCAGAACAAGGAUGAGAGUAGGCUGAUUAGAAGCCUCUUAUAUAAUAUGAUUUCUCUAGUGUUUGCUUUCAUUUCCUCCUAAAAUACAUUAUUUGUUGAGCAUAUAUUUUGUGUAGUUAGGGAAGGAUUAAGUGCCAGGAAUAUUGUCAACAUGGAGUUGUAAUGAAGCCAGGAGAUGCUUACAGUUUAAAAAGGAAGACAAAAACUUAAAGCAAUGACAAUAAAGAUAGCCAUUAUUUAGAUUAAGACCUUACUAGGUACUAUGACAACUAUGACUAACCUAAGCUAGUGGUCGGGGCACCUAGGUGGCUUAGUCAGUUAAGCGUCUGACUUUGGCUCAGGUCAUGAUCUCAUGUCUCGUGGGUUGGAGCCUUGCAUCGGGCUCUGUGCUGACAGCUCAGAGCCUGGGGCCUGCUUUGGACUCCUUCUCUCUCUGCCCUACCCCUGCCCUCACUCUGUCUAUUUCUCUCUGUGUUUCAAAAAUUAAAAAAAAAAAAAAAAUUAAAAAAAAUUUUUUAACCAGUCUAUUGAUCAAUGAGCACAAAUGAGAAAAAAUGUUAGAAAAAAAGGAAGACUGGUUUGGUAGAUAGAAUUCCAAAAUGGCUCCCCAAGUUUCCUUCCUCCUAGUGCACAUGACCUGCUUAAUCAAUCCACAGGACUGUGUACUUGGCAGAUUUUACUCCUGUGCUUGGGUUAGGUUAUAUGACAAAACUGACUUAAAAUGAAUAAAAAGAUUAUCUGGAUGGGCCUGAUGCAAUGAUAAAAACCUUUAAAGAGCAGAGUGUUGUUUUUGCUUUUUGUUUGUUUAUUUCCAGUUUGUCACAAAAGAAGUCUAGGAUUCUGUGACACACUGUUGUUUGUUUCAAAAUGGAAGGACCACAAUUCAAGGAAUGUGGAUGGGCUCUACGAGCUGAGUGGCUUCCAGCAGACAGUGAGCAAGCAGUGACCCCAGUUCUAUAACCACAAGGAACUGAAUUUUCUCAAUAACAAGAAUGAACUUAGAAGUCUAUAGAAGUUCUGCAGACAAGAACUCAGCCUGACUGACACUUCGAUUUUGGCCUUUUGAUACCCUGAACAGAGAACCCAGUUACUCUCUGUAUGAGGUUGAAAUACAGAACUAUGAACUAAUACAUGGGUGUUGUUUUAAGCUGUUAUAUUUGUAACCAGAAUUUGUUAUCAGAAACAGAAAAUGAAUACAGUGGUGGAUAGUAAUGAUAAACCCUGCUCAAUUAAAAUUGGGUAGGGUCUAUUUUUCAUAAUCUAGGCUUUUUUUUUUUUUUGGCUUGAAAUAGGAGUGAUAAGUAAGAAAACAUAUAUUUACUUAGACUUAAAAUGCUCGCUACUCUCAUAA
Acinonyx jubatus (cheetah) is the source of this 4089-nucleotide long non-coding RNA. RefSeq lists it as uncharacterized. The transcript is spliced from 5 exons. The record is from RefSeq and is a predicted model, not a curated record. Lineage: Eukaryota; Metazoa; Chordata; Mammalia; Carnivora; Felidae.